Molecule: transfer RNA, 77 nt
Filed under: Rhodospirillaceae bacterium
Lineage: Bacteria; Pseudomonadati; Pseudomonadota; Alphaproteobacteria; Rhodospirillales; Rhodospirillaceae
Also listed under: 2 other names
Description: tRNA-Pro
Rfam family: tRNA
About the family: Transfer RNA (tRNA) molecules are approximately 80 nucleotides in length. Their secondary structure includes four short double-helical elements and three loops (D, anti-codon, and T loops).
Source: RNAcentral
CGGAGCGUGGCGCAGCCUGGUAGCGCGCUACACUGGGGGUGUAGAGGUCGUGGGUUCGAGUCCCGCCGCUCCGACCA